Myzus persicae (green peach aphid) is the source of this 517-nucleotide long non-coding RNA. RefSeq lists it as uncharacterized. The record is from RefSeq and is a predicted model, not a curated record. Lineage: Eukaryota; Metazoa; Arthropoda; Insecta; Hemiptera; Aphididae. The transcript has 3 exons.
ACGGUAGCCGGUAAGUUGAAUUAAUAUUAUUCUUAAAUUAUUAAUGAAGCUAAAAAAAUUUUUUUAAUUCAGGUUAAACGUAUUUAAUUUCCGGUUAAAUUAGCAUUUGCAAUGACUAUAAAAAAAGCACAGGGACAAACAAUUAACGUUCCUGGAAUUAACCUGAGCGUUCAAUGUAUUUCAUUGAAAAAAACAAAAAUCACUAUUGUCACAAUAUAGGUAUCUGGAGCAUCGUAUUAAUUUUAUAAGCGUUUCGAUCCAACCAACAAAAUUUUAAUGACAUUUAUAGAAAAAAAACUAAAAAGAAUAGAAAAUUGUAAAUGUCCAGCAACGGCUCAAAACAAGUCAACAUAUUUUUAAAAUUAUAUCAAUUUUAACAAAACAAGAAAAUCGUUCCGUUAUAAUUCAAGAAAUAGAGUGAAUAUCGAAUGUUGUACAAAUCUGAACUAACAAGAAUGUAUCUUUGAAUGGGAUUUAAAAGUAUCAGCACGAGAAAACCCUUCAUCACACUUAUCAC